Molecule: ribosomal RNA, 478 nt
Filed under: uncultured bacterium
Lineage: Bacteria
Description: partial 16S ribosomal RNA
Rfam family: Bacterial small subunit ribosomal RNA
Source: RNAcentral
GAUGAACGCUGGCGGCGUGCUUAACACAUGCAAGUCGAACGGGAAUUAUUUUAUUGAAACUUCGGUCGAUUUAAUUUAAUUCUAGUGGCGGACGGGUGAGUAACGCGUGGGUAACCUGCCUUAUACAGGGGGAUAACAGUCAGAAAUGGCUGCUAAUACCGCAUAAGCGCACAGAGCUGCAUGGCUCAGUGUGAAAAACUCCGGUGGUAUAAGAUGGACCCGCGUUGGAUUAGCUGGUUGGUGGGGUAACGGCCCACCAAGGCGACGAUCCAUAGCCGGCAUGAGAGGGUGAACGGGCACAUUGGGACUGAGGCACGGCCCAGACUCCUACGGGAAGCAGCAGUGGGGAAUAUUGCACAAUGGGGGAAACCCUGAUGCAGCGACGCCGCGUGAAGGAAGAAGUAUCUCGGUAUGUAAACUUCUAUCAGCAGGGAAGAUAGUGACGGUACCUGACUAAGAAGCCCCGGCUAACUACGUG